This 416-nucleotide ribosomal RNA is filed under the name uncultured bacterium. RNAcentral's name for it is "bacterial SSU rRNA". It matches the Rfam family "Bacterial small subunit ribosomal RNA", at positions 8 to 425 of the family's 1533-position model. The record is from RNAcentral.
AGAGUUUGAUCCUGGCUCAGGACGAACGCUGGCGGCGUGCUUAACACAUGCAAGUCGAACGGAAAGGUCUCUUCGGAGAUACUCGAGUGGCGAACGGGUGAGUAACACGUGGGUGAUCUGCCCUGCACUUUGGGAUAAGCCUGGGAAACUGGGUCUAAUACCGGAUAGGACCGCGCCAUGCAUGUGGUGUGGUGGAAAGCUAUUUGCGGUGUGGGAUGGGCCCGCGGCCUAUCAGCUUGUUGGUGGGGUGAUGGCCUACCGAGGCGACGACGGGUAGCCGGCCUGAGAGGGUGUCCGGCCACACUGGGACUGAGAUACGGCCCAGACUCCUACGGGAGGCAGCAGUGGGGAAUAUUGCACAAUGGGCGCAAGCCUGAUGCAGCGACGCCGCGUGGGGGAUGACGGCCUUCGGGUUG